RNAcentral lists this ribosomal RNA (916 nucleotides) under uncultured archaeon. RNAcentral's name for it is "bacterial SSU rRNA". It matches the Rfam family "Archaeal small subunit ribosomal RNA", at positions 1 to 922 of the family's 1478-position model. The record is from RNAcentral.
UUCCGGUUGAUCCUGCCGGAAGCUAUUGCUAUUGGGGUUCGACUAAGCCAUGCGAGUCGAGAGUCAUUUGGACUCGGCGCACUGCUCAGUAACACGUGGUCAAACUGCCCUGUGGAAGGAGAUAACCUCGGGAAACUGAGGAUAAUAUCCUAUAGGUGCCUACAGCUGGAAUGCUUUGGCACUCAAAUGUUCCGACGCCACAGGAUGUGACUGCGGCCGAUUAGGUUGACGGUGGGGUAACGGCCCACCGUGCCGAUAAUCGGUACGGGUUGUGAGAGCAAGAACCCGGAGAUGGGAUCUGAGACACGAUCCCAGGCCCUACGGGGCGCAGCAGGCGCGAAACCUUUGCACUGUGCGAGAGCGCGAUAAGGGAACCCCAAGUGCCCGCGCCAAGCGUGGUCUUUUCUGUACCGUAAAAUGGUACAGGAAUAAGGUCUGGGCAAGACCGGUGCCAGCCGCCGCGGUAACACCGGCAGACCAAGUGUUGGCCGAUAUUAUUGGGCCUAAAGCGUCCGUAGCCUGCCGGGUAAGUCCAUCGGGAAAUCCGCCCGCUCAACGGGCGGACGUCCGGUGGAAACUGCCUGGCUUGGGACCGAGGGACCCGAGGGGUACGUCGGGGGUAGGAGUGAAAUCCUGAGAUCCUCGACGGACCGCCGGUGGCGAAAGCGCCUCGGGAAAGCGGAUCCGACGGUCAGGGACGAAAGCCAAGAUCUCGAACCGGAUUAGAUACCCGGGUAGUCUUGGCCGUAAACAAUGCUCGCUAUGUGUGACGUAGGCUACGAGCCUGCGUUGUGCCGAAGGGAAGCCGCGAAGCGAGCCGCCUGGGAAGUACGUCCGCAAGGAUGAAACUUAAAGGAAUUGGCGGGGGAGCACUACAACGGGAGGAGCCUGCGGUUUAAUUGGACUCAACGCCGGG